UCCUACGGGGGGCAGCAGUGGGGAAUAUUGGACAAUGGGCGAAAGCCUGAUCCAGCAAUGCCGCGUGAGUGAUGAAGGCCUUAGGGUUGUAAAGCUCUUUUACCAGGGAUGAUAAUGACAGUACCUGGAGAAUAAGCUCCGGCUAACUCCGUGCCAGCAGCCGCGGUAAUACGGAGGGAGCUAGCGUUGUUCGGACUUACUGGGCGUAAAGCGCACGUAGGCGGCUACUCAAGUCAGAGGUGAAAGCCCGGGUCUCAACCCCGGAACUGCCUUUGAAACUAGGUAGCUAGAAUCUUGGAGAGGGCAGUGGAAUUCCGAGUGUAGAGGUGAAAGUCGUAGAUAUUCGGAAGAACACCAGUGGCGAAGGCGACUGACUGGACAAGUAUUGACGCUGAGGUGCGAAAGCGUGGGGAGCAAACAGGAUUAGAUACCCCCGUAGUC
This 441-nucleotide ribosomal RNA is filed under the name uncultured Novosphingobium sp. RNAcentral describes it as "bacterial SSU rRNA". It matches the Rfam family "Bacterial small subunit ribosomal RNA", at positions 337 to 795 of the family's 1533-position model. Lineage: Bacteria; Pseudomonadati; Pseudomonadota; Alphaproteobacteria; Sphingomonadales; Sphingomonadaceae. The record is from RNAcentral.